This 221-nucleotide unclassified non-coding RNA is filed under the name plant metagenome. RNAcentral's name for it is "partial contains small subunit ribosomal RNA and internal transcribed spacer 1". The stretch from base 1 to 46 matches the Rfam family "Eukaryotic small subunit ribosomal RNA", at positions 1786 to 1831 of the family's 1831-position model. The record is from RNAcentral.
AAGUCGUAACAAGGUUUCCGUAGGUGAACCUGCGGAAGGAUCAUUACUGAGUUAGGGUCUUUGAGGCCCGAUCUCCAACCCUUUGUUUAACUAUCCUUGUUGCUUUGGCAGGCCCGUCUCUCGGGACCGCCGGAGGUUUUACCUCUGGCCAGUGCCUGCCAGUAGCCAAUUUAAAUUCUUUAUAAUUAUGAAGUCUGAAUCUUUAAUUAAAUUAAUUAAAA